CAAAGUAUUUUACUUGCAUUUAUGGAGUUUUAUUUGGUUUGUGUUUAUUCAAAAUAUUAAUUGUGUAUGGUGUAGAUAACAUGAUCAGAACAUUGCAAUGAAUGAUUAAUAAUUGCAUGAAGCACCUAACAAGUAUUACACAUUUAAAUUAGUCUUGCUUUUGACCAAUGAGGAAACUGUCAUCAUCCUUCUUUGUUAUAAUGUAAUAACCACUUCAUUUUUAGAAUGAAA
Molecule: long non-coding RNA, 231 nt
Filed under: Locusta migratoria (migratory locust)
Lineage: Eukaryota; Metazoa; Arthropoda; Insecta; Orthoptera; Acrididae
Description: partial Lnc64482
Source: RNAcentral